ACUCACAAUUUACUUUUGCGAGCUGAUGGUGGGUUCCGAGUGUGAUGAAUUGAGUUUUGCUCCAGUUAAACUUAAGACGGGUUGACAUUAUCCACCUGUUUGUCGCCAAUGCACAAUAUCAGAGGUGGAACGUGAAAGACACACAAAUUGCCUUUUGAGUGAAUGUAGGGCUGUAUAUCAUCAGCAUAUGAAUGCAGGCCGAUAUUAUGAUAAUGUGCAAUGCAGAUGACAUCAAUGGUGGAGAGUAGGAAGCGCACCGCACCAAGCACACUACCUUGUGGCACAUCACAUGUCACUGGUGACCUUUCUGACUUGCUACCAGCAAAGCUGACUGUGUCUGACCUGUAAUGAAGUACACCAUGAGUUGAUUUCCGAGAUACGAACAAAUCGACUUACAAACGGGUCUCAAGACAGUAACUGUUCAUAAGUCGAGGACUGUCCAUACUGUAUCUUGAUUUAAAAAAUGGACUUGGACAGAUCAUGCCAACAGAAAGAAUGAUAACUGCUGUUCGAGAAUAACAGUGGCAGCAAUGUGAGGGAAUGCACCAAAGAGAGCAACUUUCCUGGAAAUGGAGCAAUUUAAUAAGCGCUUGUGCAAAUGUUCUGGAAUUUUCCAUCACAUAAUCAUUGGUAUAUGAUGAUGACCUCUGAAGGCUUUCAUUCAGCAGUUGAUUGAUCAUGAAAACGUUGAUGCAGUUACAAACUGAACACAAUUAUCCAGGCGAUAAUCUACAUCUGUAUCUAAAUUCAAAAUGUCACGAAAACAAUAAAUACUGUUUCAGUUCAACUUUGCAUUGCCCACAAGUAGUAAAGAAUCCUAUUUGCUAGGGUACGUUAUGCGUCACAGCCCACAUUCCUCUCCACCCACAUAUAAAUGUGAGCGUCCUUCUCGGGGUAUUCAGUCAUCCUCCGCGGCUAUUCUUUCGCGUAUAAAACGUUAAUAAUUUGCUCCUUUACAGAAAGCCCUUAACAUAUGUAUUUUUUGCAUCCGAUGUUUGUGUUUCCUAUUACGUGUCAUUCAACGUCUAAGUUAAGCUGUGCCAAGGGUCUGCAAACACAGCGGCGAAGCAAACAUCCCUUGGACUGGACGCACUCUGACUUCCGUUCAACUGCUAAGGUAAAGAGCAAGUCAGUCAACCUUCAAUCACAGUGAGACUUGGAUCCAUCAUCUUAUGGUGCAUUAUAACAAGAGAAACAUGGACCGCAGUGGGUUUAGCAAAGCAGCUCUAACACUGAGGAAAGAUGUCAACGAAAGUACUGAAGUGCAUAUGUCUCUAAUUAAGUCUGUUAAAAAAGAAUCAGGCUUACAAUUGACUGUGUUUGUGCAGGAGGUGAACACAAUAGGUCUGGAAUAUCGUGACACGAAAAAAAACUGUAAUGUUAUGAUUGAUACAAUCACGACGUCUGUUGAUAAGAUUAUAGAUUGGUUGGAAGAUGUAAAAUUAAGAAAGAAAUUCAUAAAGGUUGCGUUCAAAGAAAUAGGAAUUGUCUUAAAUAAACUCCUGUCAUCAGUUAAGGAAGCUGUCAAUGCACAGGAAAAUAUAGUUACAAAAUCCCAGAUUUUAAUAAACGAAUCGUUCCUGGAAAAAGGGAAACAUGCUAAAUAUGCUGGUGCAUGUGAACAGGAUGUCAGAAGGGAAUUAAAGAAUGUGGCACUUUCAGACAAAGAAAACACAAUCAAAGAGAAAAGAGGACUGAAAAACAAGUUUGGAGCCUAUACAAAGUAUGUAACCAACAGGUGUGUAGCAAAGUGGUCAUCAGAUGUAGUGGCAGAGUUCAGAAAGGAACAUGGAUCCAUGGUAAAAUUGCUGACCGAGUUUAACGAGCAAAUGGAAUAUGUCAGUGAAAAUUUGAACAAAGAAAAAUGUAACCUUUCAAAUAUAUACAGAUCUCUAGAAAUUUUUAAGAGAGAUAUAGAUAGAUCUAACAAUAGACCUUAUUUUAUUAUUAACUUAAUGGUGGAAAAACACAUUUCGGAAUGUUUAAGAAUCAAGGAAUACUGUAAAAGAAUGCUAUGAUUCGCUUCUCAAUAGCACUAGAAUUCUCAGUAGCGAUUGUACACCUGUUAACUAUUCAGGAAGUUAAUUUGAAAAUAUAAAAUUCUAAUUUGCUCAUUUAAUAAUUCUUUUAAAAUAAAUAGUACUGUCCAUAAUACAGUUUUUUUUAAAGCUAUUGUAAUUACUGGCAAAACAUUGUACUCAGAUUGUAUAUGCUGUGG
Molecule: long non-coding RNA, 2218 nt
Organism: Petromyzon marinus (sea lamprey)
Lineage: Eukaryota; Metazoa; Chordata; Hyperoartia; Petromyzontiformes; Petromyzontidae
Source: RefSeq, a predicted model, not a curated record